UACGUAGGCAGCGAGCGUUGUUCGGAAUUACUGGGCGUAAAGGGUGUGUAGGCGGUGUUCCCAGUCUGUUGUGAAAUCUCCCGGCUUAACUGGGAGGGUGCAGCGGAAACUAGAAUGCUAGAGGGUGGGAGAGGUAAGCGGAAUUCCUGGUGUAGCGGUGAAAUGCGUAGAUAUCCGGAGGAACACCUGUGGUGUAGACGGCUCGCUGGACCGCAACUGACGCUGAGACACGAAAGCGUGGGUAGCAAACAGG
Molecule: ribosomal RNA, 253 nt
Filed under: uncultured bacterium
Lineage: Bacteria
Description: partial 16S ribosomal RNA
Rfam family: Bacterial small subunit ribosomal RNA
Source: RNAcentral